RNAcentral lists this ribosomal RNA (116 nucleotides) under Planococcus maritimus. RNAcentral also lists the same sequence under 1 other name. The record is from RNAcentral. Lineage: Bacteria; Bacillati; Bacillota; Bacilli; Caryophanales; Caryophanaceae.
UCCAGUGACGAUGGCAAAGAGGCCACACCCGUUCCCAUCCCGAACACGGAAGUUAAGCUCUUUUGCGCCGAUGGUAGUUGGGGGUUUCCCCCUGUGAGAGUAGGACGUCGCUGGGC